GGAGGUCACUGCUAUUGGGAUUCGACUAAGCCAUGCGAGUCGAGAGGGUUCGGCCCUCGGCUGACGGCUCAGUAACACGUGGAUAAUCUGCCCUUAGGUGGAGGAUAAUCUCGGGAAACUGAGAAUAAUACUCCAUAGAUCUAGGAUGCUGGAAUGCACUUAGAUUGAAAGCUCCGGCGCCUAAGGAUGAGUCUGCGGACUAUCAGGUUGUGGUCAGGGUAAUGACCUGACUAGCCUACGACGGAUACGGGUUGUGAGAGCAAUAACCCGGAGACGAUAUCUGAGACACGAUAUCGGGCCCUACGGGGCGCAGCAGGCGCGAAAACUUCACACUGUGCGAAAGCACGAUGAGGGAAUCCCAAGUGCCGACUCGUAAGAGUUGGCUGUUUCUCUGUCUAAAAAAUAGAGAGAGUAAGAGCUGGGUAAGACGGGUGCCAGCCGCCGCGGUAAUACCUGCAGCUCAAGUGGUGGCCACUAUUAUUGGGCCUAAAACGUCCGUAGCCGGUUUAAUAAAUGCCGGGGUAAAUCGUGUAGCUUAACUAUACGAAUUCCGGGUAGACUGUUAGACUUGAGACCGGGAGAAGCUAGAGGUACUCCUGGGGUAGAGGUGAAAUUCUGUAAUCCUAGGGGGACCACCAGUGGCGAAGGCGUCUAGCUAGAACGGGUCUGACGGUGAGGGACGAAGCCCUGGGGCGCAAACCGGAUUAGAUACCCGGGUAGUCCAGGGUGUAAACGCUGCUUGCUUGAUGUUAGUUGGGCUCCGAGCCCAAUUAGUGUCGGAGAGAAGUUGUUAAGCAAGCUGCCUGGGAAGUACGGCCGCAAGACUGAAACUUAA
Molecule: ribosomal RNA, 835 nt
Filed under: uncultured archaeon
Lineage: Archaea
Description: bacterial SSU rRNA
Rfam family: Archaeal small subunit ribosomal RNA
Source: RNAcentral